This 243-nucleotide ribosomal RNA is filed under the name Salmonella enterica subsp. enterica. RNAcentral's name for it is "partial 16S ribosomal RNA". It matches the Rfam family "Bacterial small subunit ribosomal RNA", at positions 545 to 787 of the family's 1533-position model. The record is from RNAcentral. Lineage: Bacteria; Pseudomonadati; Pseudomonadota; Gammaproteobacteria; Enterobacterales; Enterobacteriaceae.
CCGGAUUUACUGGGCGUAAAGGGAGCGUAGACGGACUUUUAAGUGAGAUGUGAAAUACUCGGGCUCAACUUGAGAACUGCAACUAAAACUGGAAAUCUAGAGUGCAGGAGAGGAAAAUGGAAUUCCUAGUGUAGCGGUGAAAUGCGUAGAGAUUAGGAAGAACACCAGUGGCGAAGGCGACUCUCUGGACUGUAACUGACGCUGAGGCACGAAAGCGUGGGGAGCAAACAGGAUUAGAUACCC